Molecule: ribosomal RNA, 400 nt
Filed under: uncultured bacterium
Lineage: Bacteria
Description: bacterial SSU rRNA
Rfam family: Bacterial small subunit ribosomal RNA
Source: RNAcentral
GGGGAAUCUUGCACAAUGGGGGAAACCCUGAUGCAGCGACGCCGCGUGAACGAUGAAGCCCUUCGGGGUGUAAAGUUCUUUCGACAGGAACGAUAAUGACGGUACCUGGAGAAGAAGCUGCGGCUAACUACGUGCCAGCAGCCGCGGUAAUACGUAGGCAGCGAGCGUUGUUCGGAGUUACUGGGCGUAAAGAGUGCGUAGGCGGCGAGCCAAGUUUGGUGUGAAAUCUCCCGGCUUAACCGGGAGGGUGCGCCGAAAACUGGUUGGCUGGAGUAUGGGAGAGGAAAGCGGAAUUCCUGGUGUAGCGGUGAAAUGCGUAGAUAUCAGGAGGAACACCUGCGGUGUAGACAGCUUUCUGACCAAAACUGACGCUGAGGCACGAAAGCGUGGGUAGCAAACA